Molecule: ribosomal RNA, 702 nt
Filed under: uncultured Alphaproteobacteria bacterium
Lineage: Bacteria; Pseudomonadati; Pseudomonadota; Alphaproteobacteria
Description: bacterial SSU rRNA
Rfam family: Bacterial small subunit ribosomal RNA
Source: RNAcentral
AACGAACGCUGGCGGCAUGCCUAAUACAUGCAAGUCGAACGAGAUCUUCGGAUCUAGUGGCGCACGGGUGCGUAACGCGUGGGAAUCUGCCCUUGGGUUCGGAAUAACUUCUGGAAACGGAAGCUAAUACCGGAUGAUGACGUAAGUCCAAAGAUUUAUCGCCCAAGGAUGAGCCCGCGUAGGAUUAGCUAGUUGGUGGGGUAAAGGCCCACCAAGGCGACGAUCCUUAGCUGGUCUGAGAGGAUGAUCAGCCACACUGGGACUGAGACACGGCCCAGACUCCUACGGGAGGCAGCAGUAGGGAAUAUUGGACAAUGGGCGAAAGCCUGAUCCAGCAAUGCCGCGUGAGUGAUGAAGGCCUUAGGGUUGUAAAGCUCUUUUACCCGGGAUGAUAAUGACAGUACCGGGAGAAUAAGCUCCGGCUAACUCCGUGCCAGCAGCCGCGGUAAUACGGAGGGAGCUAGCGUUGUUCGGAAUUACUGGGCGUAAAGCGCACGUAGGCGGCUAUUCAAGUCAGAGGUGAAAGCCCGGGGCUCAACCCCGGAACUGCCUUUGAAACUAGAUAGCUUGAAUCCAGGAGAGGUGAGUGGAAUUCCGAGUGUAGAGGUGAAAUUCGUAGAUAUUCGGAAGAGCACCAGUGGCGAAGGCGGCUCACUGGACUGGUAUUGACGCUGAGGUGCGAAAGCGUGGGGAGCAAACAGG